Ornithodoros turicata is the source of this 720-nucleotide long non-coding RNA. RefSeq lists it as uncharacterized. The record is from RefSeq and is a predicted model, not a curated record. The transcript is spliced from 2 exons. NCBI's taxonomy places the organism in Eukaryota, Metazoa, Arthropoda, Arachnida, Ixodida, Argasidae.
UAUACCGCUGCCCCAGUCGUCAGCCACGCUGUUGCUGUCCCAGCCUUCAGCCACGCUGUCGCCACUUCUGCUCUUAGCUAUACGCUCGUUACGCUGCUCCAGCCCUCACCCACGCUGUUGCUGCCCCAGCUGUUAGCUACGCUCGUUACGCUGCUCCAGCCGUAGCCACCGUUGCCCAGCCCCCGUCGUCAGCCACACUGUUGCUGCUCCAGCUCUGAGCUACGCCCGUUACGCUGCUCCAGCGCUCUCUUACGCCCGUUGCGCUGCUCCAGCCCUUAGCUACGCUCGCUACGCCGCCCCAGCCGUCGCCACUGUAGCUGCCCUAGCUGUUCACACCGCCGUCGCGGCUCCAGCAGCCGCCGUGACGGUCACGGUCUCGGCCUUGGCUACGGUCUUCGAUACGGCAGCACCCUCGGAUACGGCACCACCCUCGGAUAUGGCCGCGGUCUUUCCUACGGCCUUGGCUAUGGAGGUGUUGGCUACGGUCUUGGCUACGGCUACGGUCUCGGCGGAUACAACUAUGGCCUUGGUGGCCAGUACUACGCUCUCCGCAAGAAAUAGACGAUCCUCUGGAUGAUCCAAAGGAAAACAUGGUGGCAAGCCCACUGUUCUACCAUCAACACAGGGAUGUCUACCGCUCUCGUCGAGGAAUCUGAGGAGUCUAAUUUAUGAAACAUGUACGAAAGAAUGCGAAAUUAAAAUACAAUCUUUUAUUUUGCA